RNAcentral lists this ribosomal RNA (278 nucleotides) under uncultured bacterium. RNAcentral's name for it is "partial 16S ribosomal RNA". It matches the Rfam family "Bacterial small subunit ribosomal RNA", at positions 333 to 603 of the family's 1533-position model. The record is from RNAcentral.
UAUUGCCUACGGGGCGCAGCAGUAGGGAAUCUUCCACAAUGGGCGAAAGCCUGAUGGAGCAACGCCGCGUGGGUGAAGAAGGUCUUCGGAUCGUAAAACCCUGUUGUUAGAGAAGAAAGUGCGUGAGAGUAACUGUUCACGUUUCGACGGUAUCUAACCAGAAAGCCACGGCUAACUACGUGCCAGCAGCCGCGGUAAUACGUAGGUGGCAAGCGUUAUCCGGAUUUCUUGGGCGUAAAGAGAACGAAGGCGGGCCUUUACGUCUGAUGGGGAAGCCU